UCAAGUUAGGUAAAUUUGAAGCGGCUGGUCUGAGCGCCUAUAUAUCCGCUCUUGAGCAGGACUGUUGUUAGCGGGGUUACCAGACAUGUCUGAACACGAUGGCCUUGCCGGCAGCCGCUUAUGGGUGCACUAAGACUGCUAACGCAAUGGAAGAAGUGAAAAUGGGAAGAGAGAUUGAGGGGACCGCAUAGAUCAGGUUUUUGCAUGUUAAGAUGGCCUAAUGAGAGAGCAUUGUCUUACAAGGGUACAUAGAAUUUCCCAGCUCCACAUUGGGCAUCAUAACAUCACUAUCUGUUGCCAUGGAAAUCGCUGUGAUUUUGCAAAUUCAGCUUUGUUUUGAUGAAAUUAGACACACACAAAAAAAAAAAAGAAAUGGGCAAUAGGGAAAAGUAGCACCAUCUAUUUAAUUUAAUAGAGGAAGAAAUUUGAGGGUUGUACUAUAUCUACCAACCAUUGCUUUUAGAUGGUAGUUAGCUUUCCAGACUGAUACUUUGCAUUCCUGGCUAUUGCUGGAAUAUGUAAUAAUGCUUGGACAACCACAAGUCUGUUAGUGGCCUGCUUUAGAAAUAAAGCAGUGGCCAAACAAUAAAAAUUAACAUUAAUGCUAUUUGAUAAAUAUAUGCAUUUCCUGGUCUCUGUAAUUUAGUCCUGCAAUAUGAGGGUAAAUUAUGGGCUUGCUGGAAGUGGUGUACAAAAUUCUGCUUUCAUCUUGCCAGAACUAUUAAGGGAGACCAGCAUGAUACAGUUCUACAGCUAAUGUUUUAGAUUUUUUAGACUGGAUUUAUGAAUAAAUUAAAAGAGUUUGCCUAUACCUGG
Molecule: long non-coding RNA, 816 nt
Organism: Pezoporus flaviventris
Lineage: Eukaryota; Metazoa; Chordata; Aves; Psittaciformes; Psittacidae
Exons: 4
Source: RefSeq, a predicted model, not a curated record